UACGGGAGGCAGCAGUGGGGAAUAUUGCACAAUGGGCGCAAGCCUGAUGCAGCCAUGCCGCGUGUAUGAAGAAGGCCUUCGGGUUGUAAAGUACUUUCAGUCGUGAGGAAGGUGUUAAGGUUAAUAACCUUAGCAAUUGACGUUAGCGACAGAAGAAGCACCGGCUAACUCCGUGCCAGCAGCCGCGGUAAUACGGAGGGUGCGAGCGUUAAUCGGAAUUACUGGGCGUAAAGGGCACGCAGGCGGUUAAUUAAGUUGGAUGUGAAAUCCCCGGGCUUAACCUGGGAAUGGCAUUCAAGACUGGUUAGCUAGAGUCUUGUAGAGGGGGUAGAAUUCCAUGUGUAGCGGUGAAAUGCGUAGAGAUGUGGAGGAAUACCGGUGGCGAAGGUGGCCCCUGGACAAAGACUGACGCUCAUGUGCGAAAGCGUGGGGAGCAAACAGGGAUUAGAUACC
RNAcentral lists this ribosomal RNA (453 nucleotides) under uncultured bacterium. RNAcentral describes it as "bacterial SSU rRNA". It matches the Rfam family "Bacterial small subunit ribosomal RNA", at positions 340 to 786 of the family's 1533-position model. The record is from RNAcentral.